GACAUCUAACCAUAUAUCAUGGCUACCCAAGCUAAUAUAGAAUUUGUUCGGAGAACCUAUUCAGUUGGAAUUACAAUGUAAUUCGAUCCUUCUCUAAAACAAUACUCACAAUCAUAUUACUAGGGUAUGGAUAUUUAAUGUCAAACCCCUAAUAUGAUUAUUCCAUGUUAUAUGAUUCAAUUGAGUCGUAUAGGAACGUUUUCCUUCAUUACGCUCUAUACUUCGGCCGAAGAUUCCCGAAUCAUAUCUUAAAGUAUUCAUCCUCUCAUAACGAGGAUUAGAGAUCCCUUGUUGAUCAUUCACAUGCCUCUGAGAAUAAAUCACUGACCCCAACAAUGCAUCGAACACACCCAAGAUGAGGUGUGGUCACGUCUCAUUAUCAAAAUGAUCAGCAACGUAUCCCCAAGACAACUAUGAUGUCUCAGGUCAAAGGAUUACUUACAUUAUUCCAACCAUUAGAGUUACUUGCUUGACAUGUGAGUAGACAUCCAUGCAAGUACUCUCGUUCGAUUGUGUUCAGUGAACUCAUUCCCUUAAUGAGCACCUACAUACCUGUCUUAGUGUCACUACAUGAAUGGGAUGAGACUUUCCAUCCUUCCAAUUGAAGGGGACAUAGUAUGUACUGGUCUAUGCAUUUUCAGUAUCCCUCUGACAAUCCUAAGACCAGGAACCUUUUGGACAUGAUGGUUAUGUGAAGAAGGUCUCUGCAGUCUAACAUCAUUAGAUUACUUCUUCCAUCGAUCCAUUGUCCAUGGAUUCACUAUUUAGGACAUAUAUCGUUUAUUGAGAUAGUCCUAAUUAGUAUCUUUGCAUUUUGAUGUAUAAGAAUCAUCUAUAAACACAUUCAUUGUCUUGAAAGGUUUUUUCCAAAGAUUGACUUUCAGGGCAUAUCUCCAACAAUCUCCUACUUGCACUAAAGUCAAUCACUAGUGUAUCUUAUAGAUGCUAGUCGAGUGAACUUACGCUCAUAGGUAAACUUGGUUAUGUAUUAAUCCUUUUAAUUUAAAAGGGAUUUACUUAGCAAAUGUUUCUAAAACAUUUGAUGAUGUCUCUUUCUUGUGUUCAAAUACUUUGAUGAGACCUUGAUUCCAUGGCUUGAGCUAUCACCCCAUUACAUUGUAGUGUCCUACUAACGACCUUAUGGUUUGGAUUCAAUCAUUGGUUCUAUAAGAACCCCUUCUAUUCAAAACACCUUUUGAAGCAGUUUCUAAAACUAUAUAUCGACAUAUAUUUCGUUUGUAUACUUUAUACAUACUUUGCUCCAACAUUGAGACCAUUGUAGUACAAUACUAACAAUACAUUCAUUUGAUUAGUACUUCAUCCAUUAUGAAGUUCCAUUUGUUAAAAUGGGUUAUUUUCACUUUGGUUUAUAACCUAAGUGAACGCACGCUUCCAGAGUCCGACUCUGAUGUUUCUUUCUUAAAGGCAAUAAUACUCUAUCAGUUGCUACGGUUCUGAUCUUGGGCUAUAGUAAUAUCUUAAAGUGACAACCCCAAUGGUUUUUCACCUUUGGAUAUUGUCUCACAAGUCCAUACAUGUGUCCCUUUUGUGAUUUUGUGACACAUUCAUUAUAAGGGUCACGAAAGUGAUUUUCUAUCAUAUAAGAAAAUACUUUCUCAAACCUUCAACAUUUGAGAUUUAAUUUCCCCAUAUAACAUCUUUGAGAUAGCCUUGCUAUAUCAUUAAGUCCAAUUUCAAGUCUAUACUUCAAAAUUGACCGUGUCACGUUUUGUCAUUUUGAGUAACAUCUAUGUUUUAUCAAGUCUAUCAAAUAGACUUUAUUCAUAUCUUGUUGCUCAAAUUAUGACGUCACUCCCAUUGGGCUUGUUGUAACUUAGCAUUCAUUCAAAAACUUAACACUUAUAUUUUCUUGAUUUGAAUGCAUAUUGCUCCCACUAACUUGUCUUGGAUCUAUUGACAAUCAUUGAGAUCCAUUAGCUUAUUGAUGAUGUCUCAACAAUUUUGGGACUAUCAACAACUCUAGCUAACACAAGUUAUUUAAACGAACAUACACAAAAGAAUUCCUUCUCAAGUAAUUCCAUUUGAAAUGUGUGACUUGCUUUAUCAAGUCUAUUCAUUUAAAUUAUAUGGUGUCAUACACCAUACUUCAGGUUUUAGUCAUACUAAGACCUUUAAUGUAGUCAUAUAAGAAUUAUUCAAGUCAUUAGUGGAGGCAUGGCUCCUACUAAGGAUAUAGAAACUCAACCAUACCUUCUAGAUGGUUGAUAUAAUUCUUUAUCAAAACUACAUAAAGUGUUAUAGUUACAUGAGGUGCCGAAUUUGGAUUGUCUUGUUGUUAAACCAUAUGUUGUGACUCAUUUUGAAACUAUUCCCUUUUGUUUCAUCAAUUUGUCCAUAUGCUUUGUUAUUAGCUUGUUCUCAUAAAAGAGAAUGAUGGACAACUCCCAACAUAUAACCAUUUUAUGCUAGGUCGACGAAACCAACAUUCAUAGACUAUUCUUUAGAAUGUUACACAACAUAGAAUUUCAACGCUUCAAAGAGCUUGAGACCUUUUAACAAUUAAAAUUACAAGCUCAUUAAUAGUAGUAAAGUACUAUUAAUUUUUAGACAACUAUAAACCAAUCAUAUUCAAGUUUAUAUCCUUUUCUCACCUCCCACUGUUUUCUCAUGACCUUAAUGAGAAAUCGCAUUAUAUAUUCAUAGUGUAUAAUUAUGAAGUAUACGGGUAGAGGACAUUGUGGAGUAGCUUAGAACCUUUUAAGCUUAUUAUUCCAACUCCACUAAGUUCAUGUCUUGUUAUUAAGUGACUAAAGUCUUUAAACCUUUUAUAGAUUUAGACACUUCAUCAUUGGUUUGAUCACUAACAUAUUUGACAUUUCUUAAAACAAUUCAAGAAUGUCCAAUUAGUUGUUUAAAACUACUAAUUGAACCAAGAGUGAUCUUGGUUAUUGUGGUUAAGUAAGUGAUAACCAUAUAAGAAACAUUUUUCUUAUGUAUUACUUAUGUCAUUAUAAUGUGAUCUUCCUUUUCUUCAAGAAAGGAAAUCUCUAGACUUUCUCAAUUCAUAUAGAACUUAUAUGUAGGCUAUUGGAACCAAAUCUAAAGAUUCAUUGUAUCCAUCUAUGGCCAACAUGUAAGAUCUAUACUUAAUUGAUAAAUCCAAAGCUUGGAUAUCGCAUUAUAUAAGUGAUUCAUUUCUUGUAUUUCAACUAGAAUACAACAAGACAAUUUUUCAAUUCAUAAUACUACUACUUUGAAGAACAAAAUUUAGUAGAAGGCAUUCAUCACAUUACAUUGAUAUGAUAAGUCAAACAUUCAUAAUGUUUAAUACAAAAGGAAUUAGCUCUAUACAUUUUAGAGACUAAUUAUAUACCUUCAUAUAGGCACCAAUAGUGGUCUUCCAACAUAUGAAGCCACAUAAUAAGUUCUUAAACAAAAUAAGAAAGUUUAAAGACUAUCUUUAAGUGCCUAACAAACUUCCUAAGUAGUUAGCAAAAAAUUUGUGGCCGAACCCUUCUCGAUCCUUUUCCUUGCUUGUUCAUCUUCUACUUGGCUCCAUCACCUACAUACAAUUGCAUAAGUGAUUAGCAUUUUAUAUCAAAUAUAAAGAUUAGAAGAUCUAACAAUUAGAAUUGAAGAUAAGAACAUAAACCAUACCUUGUGGCUUGUCCUUAAGAGUUGCAAGGUAUAACCUGCAAUUCCUCUCUUCCAAUGCCCGUCCUUUCCACAGUGGUGGCAAGUCCCCUUGGGCUCCUUUGCCUUCUUUUUCUUCACUCCUCCUUGGGCCUUAGGAGUGGAUGACUUCUCCUUUCCUUUGCCUUUGCCUUUCGGCUUGGCUUUGGAAGAGGAUGACUUGUUGUAGGCUACUGCAGCAGUCCCUACAACAUUCUCUUUCUUCAUAGUCUUCUCAGCGGUUACUAACAUGUUUAGUAACUCAAAGAAAGUG
Molecule: long non-coding RNA, 3907 nt
Filed under: Malus domestica (apple)
Lineage: Eukaryota; Viridiplantae; Streptophyta; Magnoliopsida; Rosales; Rosaceae
Description: long non-coding RNA (MDOM_LNC012451)
Source: RNAcentral